UUCCUUAGUAACGGCGAGCGAACUGGAAAGAGCCCAGCUUGAAAAUCGAGGCGCCUCCGUGCCCCGAAUUGUAGUCUGUAGAAGCAUCCUCUGCAGCGGACCGAGCCUAGGUUCUUUGGAAUGAGACGCCGGAGAGGGUGAGAGCCCCGUCCGGCUCGGACCCUGCUGCUUCACGAGGUGCUGUCGUAGAGUCGGGUUGUUUGGGAAUGCAGCCUCAAUUGGGUGGUAAAUCUCAUCUAAGGCUAAAUACUGGCAAGAGACCGAUAGCGAACAAGUACCGCGAGGGAAAGAUGAAAAGGACUUUGAAAAGAGAGUUAAAAGUGCUUGAAAUUGCUGGGAGGGAAGCGAAUGGAUGCCUUGUGUGCUUCCCGGUUGUGGUGGGACGGCUUGCUGGCCUGCCGAAACAAGUUGGGUUGCUAGCCAGCGUUGGCAACGGCGGUAGGACAAGAGCCGGUCGCUCUUCCGAGCUUCUGGCCUAUGCUACUGGCGCUGCCAGGGCCACAAGGGUGCGCGGCACUCGUGCGGCGGGCCUCCGGGCACCUGCACCCUUUGGAUGCUGGCAUUCGGGGCUUUCCAUCCGACCCGUCUUGAAACACGGACCAAGGAGUCUAACAUGUAUGCGAGUUGGUGGGUGAUAAACCCACGAGGCGGAAGGAAACUGAGUCGUGGGAUCCCUGCUGGCUUGCGGGGUGCACCACGGACCGACCAUGAUCUUUUGUGAAAGGUUCGAGUGCUAGCAUAUCUGUUGGGACCCGAAAGAUGGUGAACUAUGCCUGAGCAGGGCGAAGCCAGAGGAAACUCUGGUGGAGGCUCGUAGCGAUACUGACGUGCAAAUCCUUCGUCAGACUUGGGUAUAGGGGCGAAAGACUAAUCGAACCUUCUAGUAGCUGGUUCCCUCCGAAGUUUCCCUCAGGAUAGCUGGAGCUCCGUGCGAGUUUUAUCGGGUAAAGCGAAUGAUUAAAGG
Molecule: ribosomal RNA, 964 nt
Filed under: Selaginella tortipila
Lineage: Eukaryota; Viridiplantae; Streptophyta; Lycopodiopsida; Selaginellales; Selaginellaceae
Description: partial large subunit ribosomal RNA
Rfam family: Eukaryotic large subunit ribosomal RNA
Source: RNAcentral